GACGAACGCUGGCGGCGUGCUUAACACAUGCAAGUCGAACGGAAAGGCCCUGCUUUUGUGGGGUGCUCGAGUGGCGAACGGGUGAGUAACACGUGAGUAACCUGCCCUUGACUUUGGGAUAACUUCAGGAAACUGGGGCUAAUACCGGAUAGGAGCUCCUGCUGCAUGGGGGGGGUUGGAAAGUUUCGGCGGUUGGGGAUGGACUCGCGGCUUAUCAGCUUGUUGGUGUGGUAGUGGCGUACCAAGGCUUUGACGGAUAGCCGGCCUGAGAGGGUGACCGGCCACAAUGGGACUGAGGGACGGCCCAGACUCCUACGGGAGGCAGCAGGGGGGAAUAUUGCACAGUGGGCGGAAGCCUGAUGCAGAAACGCCGCGUGCGGGAUGACGGCCUUCGGGUUGUAAACCGCUUUCGCCUGUGACGAAGCGUGAGUGACGGUAAUGGGUAAAGAAGCACCGGCUAACUACGUG
RNAcentral lists this ribosomal RNA (468 nucleotides) under uncultured bacterium. RNAcentral's name for it is "partial 16S ribosomal RNA". It matches the Rfam family "Bacterial small subunit ribosomal RNA", at positions 28 to 507 of the family's 1533-position model. The record is from RNAcentral.